AAUUUUCCGCAAUGGGCGCAAGCCUGACGGAGCAACGCCGCGUGAGGGAGGAAGGCCUGUGGGUCGUAAACCUCUUUUCUCAAGGAAGAAGAUUUGACGGUACUUGAGGAAUCAGCAUCGGCUAACUCCGUGCCAGCAGCCGCGGUAAGACGGAGGAUGCAAGCGUUAUCCGGAAUUAUUGGGCGUAAAGCGUCCGUAGGUGGUUUAGAAAGUCAGUUGUUAAAGCCCAUAGCUCAACUGUGGAUCGGCAAUUGAAACUACUAGACUUGAGUGUGGUAGGGGUAGAGGGAAUUCCUAGUGUAGCGGUGAAAUGCGUAGAUAUUAGGAAGAACACCAGUGGCGAAGGCGCUCUACUGGGCCAUAACUGACACUGAUGGACGAAAGCUAGGGGAGCGAAAGGGAUUAGAUACCCCUGUAGUCCUAGCUGUA
This 429-nucleotide ribosomal RNA is filed under the name uncultured marine bacterium. Its description in RNAcentral is "bacterial SSU rRNA". It matches the Rfam family "Bacterial small subunit ribosomal RNA", at positions 360 to 804 of the family's 1533-position model. The record is from RNAcentral.